UACGAAGGGGGCUAGCGUUGCUCGGAAUCACUGGGCGUAAAGCGCACGUAGGCGGCUCUUUAAGUCAGGGGUGAAAUCCUGGAGCUCAACUCCAGAACUGCCUUUGAUACUGAGGGGCUUGAGUCCGGGAGAGGUGAGUGGAACUGCGAGUGUAGAGGUGAAAUUCGUAGAUAUUCGCAAGAACACCAGUGGCGAAGGCGGCUCACUGGCCCGUAACUGACGCUGAGGCACGAAAGCGUGGGGAGCAAACAGG
Molecule: ribosomal RNA, 253 nt
Filed under: uncultured bacterium
Lineage: Bacteria
Description: partial 16S ribosomal RNA
Rfam family: Bacterial small subunit ribosomal RNA
Source: RNAcentral